CAGUUACGGUUAGCAAGCCUGAGCCAACCUGCCUGUCUGAAUCUCUGACUACCUGAAAACCAGAACCUGAACCUGAUCUGUUUUCUCCCCUCUGCUUCCUAGAUUGAACCUGUCUGAAACCUGAUACCCAGAAGAGUAUCUCUGCCGGUAAUCUGCCUGUCUGUUCUCUGAAGAACCCUGGAAAACUAUUCCUGUCAAAGACCUGCCUGCCCGCUCUCUGAAGAAACCGGAAGGGAAACUCUAAUUGGUAAUCUGCCAACACUCAAACCAAGCUCUGCCUCCGCCUAGCCCUCAGCCUGCCGAUAGCCUCUGGACCCUCUAGGUUCCCCCCUCAGCCGCUCAGCUCAACUCCUGUACAGUGAACCCACUCGUGACCAGUCCUGGACCUGUUAACUCUGUGUGCAUUUCUGAAUCCACUCGUGACCAGACGAGUUCCCCUUGGGAUCUGUUUAUUUAUUGUAUUCCAUCUUCU
Molecule: long non-coding RNA, 472 nt
Organism: Cyprinodon tularosa
Lineage: Eukaryota; Metazoa; Chordata; Actinopteri; Cyprinodontiformes; Cyprinodontidae
Exons: 2
Source: RefSeq, a predicted model, not a curated record